GUAAGUGUAUUUGAUUUAGUCGACAAAAAGGUUAGAGCGCCAUCUUCGGCGACAGACUUUUAUAGACAGAGUUUCAAAGUCAAACAAUGAUCAAUGAAGAACAAUGAGAAAUCGAUGAUUAAUUGCAACAUAUUCUUAGCUGCAGACAAGUUAAUUGACUAAAAGGAGGCAAGAAGUUUUCACGGAGUGAAAAGAACAGAGUUAAAAGAAAGGAGUCAAAGAAAGGAAGCUACGCUCCUACCAAAGAAUAAAAGAACACUCCCGUAAAAA
This 270-nucleotide long non-coding RNA is filed under the name Strongylocentrotus purpuratus (purple sea urchin). RNAcentral's name for it is "uncharacterized LOC115920179". Lineage: Eukaryota; Metazoa; Echinodermata; Echinoidea; Camarodonta; Strongylocentrotidae. The record is from RNAcentral.